Molecule: small nucleolar RNA, 134 nt
Filed under: Setaria italica (foxtail millet)
Lineage: Eukaryota; Viridiplantae; Streptophyta; Magnoliopsida; Poales; Poaceae
Description: Small nucleolar RNA Z247
Rfam family: Small nucleolar RNA Z247
About the family: Z247 is a member of the C/D class of snoRNA which contain the C (UGAUGA) and D (CUGA) box motifs.
Source: Rfam by way of RNAcentral
AAAAUAGAAGAUGAUGAGAUGGUGUCCUUCAUACUCGCUUGUCUAGAUGUAGAUUACAACCCAAUAGUGACCUCGGUUAUGGGCAGAUUGGAUCUGAUCCCUCUGUCUAAACUGUAUGCACAAGUUAUGUCAUA